RNAcentral lists this transfer RNA (77 nucleotides) under Candidatus Thiodiazotropha sp. RNAcentral describes it as "tRNA-Lys". It matches the Rfam family "tRNA". Rfam says of the family: Transfer RNA (tRNA) molecules are approximately 80 nucleotides in length. Their secondary structure includes four short double-helical elements and three loops (D, anti-codon, and T loops). The record is from RNAcentral. Lineage: Bacteria; Pseudomonadati; Pseudomonadota; Gammaproteobacteria; Chromatiales; Sedimenticolaceae.
AGGUCCGUAGUUCAAGUGGGCAGAACACCUGGCUUUUAACCAGGUCGAUGCCGGAUCGUGGCCGGCCGGACCUACCA